This 83-nucleotide small RNA is filed under the name Dokdonia pacifica. RNAcentral describes it as "Flavo-1 RNA". It matches the Rfam family "Flavo-1 RNA". Lineage: Bacteria; Pseudomonadati; Bacteroidota; Flavobacteriia; Flavobacteriales; Flavobacteriaceae. The record is from RNAcentral.
UCAUUGCGUUAGGGAUAGCAACGGCAUCCUUUUUUGGGUAAGAUGUAUGCCCAAAAAAGAUAUAGUGAAUAGCCCGCCCCGCA